This 99-nucleotide non-coding RNA is filed under the name Streptococcus henryi. RNAcentral's name for it is "Azaaromatic sequence". It matches the Rfam family "azaaromatic riboswitch aptamer (yjdF RNA)". The record is from Rfam by way of RNAcentral. Lineage: Bacteria; Bacillati; Bacillota; Bacilli; Lactobacillales; Streptococcaceae.
UAUUUCUGGCAUAAAAACACAUCGCAGUUGGUAGUCUGUGAGCAUCUGAGGAUGUCAGUAACCUUCCCUCCCGGGUCGUCCGAUGUCAGAUAUUUUAAU